GACGAACGCUGGCGGCGUGCCUAACACAUGCAAGUCGAACGGAACUGUUUUGAAAGAUUUCUUCGGAAUGAAUUUGAUGUAGUUUAGUGGCGGACGGGUGAGUAACGCGUGAGUAACCUGCCUUCAAGAGGGGAAUAACAUUCUGAAAAGAAUGCUAAUACCGCAUGACAUAUCGGAACCACAUGGUUUUGAUAUCAAAGAUUAUAUCGCUUGAAGAUGGACUCGCGUCCGAUUAGUUAGUUGGUGAGGUAACGGCUCACCAAGACCGCGAUCGGUAGCCGGACUGGGAGGUUGGACGGCCCCAUUGGGACUGAGGCCCGGCCCAGGCUCCUACGGGAGGCAGCCGUGAGGGAUAUUGCGCAAUGGGGGCAACCCUGACGCAGCAACGCCGCGUGAAGGAUGAAGGUUUUCGGAUUGUAAACUUCUUUUAUUAAGGACGGAAAAUGACGGUACUUAAUGAAUAAGCUCCGGCUAACUACGUG
RNAcentral lists this ribosomal RNA (482 nucleotides) under uncultured bacterium. RNAcentral's name for it is "partial 16S ribosomal RNA". It matches the Rfam family "Bacterial small subunit ribosomal RNA", at positions 28 to 507 of the family's 1533-position model. The record is from RNAcentral.